RNAcentral lists this microRNA precursor (107 nucleotides) under Canis lupus familiaris (dog). Its description in RNAcentral is "mir-8834 microRNA precursor family". It matches the Rfam family "mir-8834 microRNA precursor family". RNAcentral also lists the same sequence under 1 other name. The record is from Rfam by way of RNAcentral. Lineage: Eukaryota; Metazoa; Chordata; Mammalia; Carnivora; Canidae.
AGGAGGAACAACCACAGUGGCAGCGGCCAGCUCUGGAGCCCUGGAUUCAGCUCCUGCAGUAACUAUGGAGCUAUCAGUCUGCAGGGGCCUGGAGGCUCCGGGGCGGG